Molecule: ribosomal RNA, 465 nt
Filed under: Vreelandella stevensii
Lineage: Bacteria; Pseudomonadati; Pseudomonadota; Gammaproteobacteria; Oceanospirillales; Halomonadaceae
Description: partial 16S ribosomal RNA
Rfam family: Bacterial small subunit ribosomal RNA
Source: RNAcentral
CCUACGGGAGGCAGCAGUGGGGAAUAUUGGACAAUGGGGGGAACCCUGAUCCAGCCAUGCCGCGUGUGUGAAGAAGGCCCUCGGGUUGUAAAGCACUUUCAGUGAGGAAGAACGCCUGGUGGUUAAUACCCAUCAGGAAAGACAUCACUCACAGAAGAAGCACCGGCUAACUCCGAGCCAGCAGCCGCGGUAAUACGGAGGGUGCGAGCGUUAAUCGGAAUUACUGGGCGUAAAGCGCGCGUAGGUGGCUUGAUAAGCCGGUUGUGAAAGCCCCGGGCUCAACCUGGGAACGGCAUCCGGAACUGUCAAGCUAGAGUGCAGGAGAGGAAGGUAGAAUUCCCGGUGUAGCGGUGAAAUGCGUAGAGAUCGGGAGGAAUACCAGUGGCGAAGGCGGCCUUCUGGACUGACACUGACACUGAGGUGCGAAAGCGUGGGUAGCAAACAGGAUUAGAUACCCGGGUAGUC